Molecule: non-coding RNA, 256 nt
Filed under: Lachnospiraceae bacterium
Lineage: Bacteria; Bacillati; Bacillota; Clostridia; Lachnospirales; Lachnospiraceae
Description: T-box sequence
Rfam family: T-box leader
About the family: Uncharged tRNA acts as the effector for transcription antitermination of genes in the T-box leader family. T-boxes are found upstream of many aminoacyl-tRNA synthetase genes and some amino acid biosynthetic genes usually in Gram-positive bacteria.
Source: RNAcentral
GAAAAGAUGAGGAAAAAGAGGAGUACGCAUAAACACUCGGCAGAGAGGGCGGCCCAAAGGCUGAAAGGACGCCCGGAGAAAGGGAUGCGGAAGGUAGCUUUGGAAUCGGAGGCCUGAACAGACGGCUGGCAGGGAAUACAGUCUGCAUCGCAGUCGGUAGGGCUUCACGUUUUAUCCCCGUUAAAGGAUAAAUGAGGCCGGAAAGGAAAAAAAUUUCCGGUGAACAAAGGUGGUACCGCGUGAAUACGCCCUUUGC